AUUGAACGCUGGCGGCAGGCCUAACACAUGCAAGUCGAGCGGAUGAAGGGAGCUUGCUCCUGGAUUCAGCGGCGGACGGGUGAGUAAUGCCUAGGAAUCUGCCUGGUAGUGGGGGAUAACGUCCGGAAACGGGCGCUAAUACCGCAUACGUCCUGAGGGAGAAAGUGGGGGAUCUUCGGACCUCACGCUACCAGAUGAGCCUAGGUCGGAUUAGCUAGUUGGUGGGGUAAAGGCCUACCAAGGCGACGAUCCGUAACUGGUCUGAGAGGGUGAUCAGUCACACGAGAAGUGAGACGGGGUCGAGACUCCUACGAGAGAGAGGAGUGGAGACUAUCGGAAAAGGCGAGAGAGCGUGAGCCAGACAUGCCGCGUGUGUGAAGAAGGUCUUCGGAGUGUAAAGCACUUUAAGUUGGGAGGAAGGGGAGUAAGUUAAUACCUUGAUGUUUUGACGUUACAAACAGAAUAAGCACCGGCUAACUUCG
Molecule: ribosomal RNA, 482 nt
Filed under: uncultured bacterium
Lineage: Bacteria
Description: partial 16S ribosomal RNA
Rfam family: Bacterial small subunit ribosomal RNA
Source: RNAcentral